Molecule: small nuclear RNA, 111 nt
Organism: Suncus etruscus (white-toothed pygmy shrew)
Lineage: Eukaryota; Metazoa; Chordata; Mammalia; Eulipotyphla; Soricidae
Source: RefSeq, a predicted model, not a curated record
UUUGGCAGCACAUAUACUAAAAUUGUAAUGAAAAUAGUAAUGAUACAGAGAAGAUUAACAUGGCCCCUAUGCAAGGAAGACAUGCAAAUAUAUGAAGCGUUUCAUAUUAAA